UUGAUAUUUAAUUAUGGUAUUAUAUAUAGAUUUAUGUAUGUAAUUUAUAUGAAUUUCGAUUUAAAUUUAAUUUUAGUAGUGUAUAAUUUUAAUUAUUAAGGAAUCUUAGAAUUAGUAAUGUAUAUAUAAAUAUUUGCUUAUUUUGUGCCAGCAGCAGCGGUUAUACAGAAAAUAUAAUUUAUAUUUAUUAGUUUUAAUUAAUAGAAUAUUUUUAAAUUAAAAUUUAAGUUAAAAGGUGAAAUUUUUUCUUAAUUUAAUUUUUUUUUGUUUUUAUGAAGUUAAGAAAUUUUUAUAUAAACUAGGAUUAGAUACCCUAUUAUUUUAAAUGUAAAUUAUUAAGCUAAGUGAUUAAUAGUUAAGUUCUUUAAAGCUAAAUAAUUUGGCGGUAUUUUAUACUUUUCAGAGGAACCUGUCCAUUAAGCGAUAAUCCACGAUUAAAUUAACUUUGAUUAGAAACUUUUAUAUCGUUGUUUAAAAAUAUUUUAUAAGAAUUUAAUAUUUAAAAUUUCUUUAUUUAGAAAUAAAUCAAAUCAAGGUGAAGUUUAUAUUAAAGAUGAGAUGGGUUACAUUUAAUUUUAUUAAUAGAUUAAAAUUUGAAAAAUUUUAUGAAAUUGGAUUUGAAAGUAAUUGAAAAAAUUUUUUUUUAAUGAUUUAGCACUAAAAUAUGUACAUAUUGCCCGUCGCUUUCAUUUAAUAUGGAAUAAGUCGUAACAUAGUAGAUUUACUGGAAAGUGUUUCUAGAAAGCA
This 747-nucleotide non-coding RNA is filed under the name Eriopis connexa. The record is from RNAcentral. Lineage: Eukaryota; Metazoa; Arthropoda; Insecta; Coleoptera; Coccinellidae.